CACGUAGGGCGCAAGCGUUGUCCGGAAUUAUUGGGCGUAAAGAGCUCGUAGGCGGUCUGUUGCGUCCGCUGUGAAAACCCGGGGCUUAACCCCUGGCUUGCAGUGGAUACGGACAGACUAGAGGUAGGUAGGGGAGAAUGGAAUUCCCGGUGUAGCGGUGAAAUGCGCAGAUAUCGGGAGGAACACCGGUGGCGAAGGCGGUUCUCUGGGCCUUACCUGACGCUGAGGGGCGAAAGCUAGGGGAGCGAACAGG
This 253-nucleotide ribosomal RNA is filed under the name uncultured bacterium. RNAcentral's name for it is "partial 16S ribosomal RNA". It matches the Rfam family "Bacterial small subunit ribosomal RNA", at positions 524 to 776 of the family's 1533-position model. The record is from RNAcentral.